RNAcentral lists this transfer RNA (85 nucleotides) under Acidobacteriota bacterium. RNAcentral's name for it is "tRNA-Pro". It matches the Rfam family "tRNA". From Rfam's summary of the family: Transfer RNA (tRNA) molecules are approximately 80 nucleotides in length. Their secondary structure includes four short double-helical elements and three loops (D, anti-codon, and T loops). The record is from RNAcentral. Lineage: Bacteria; Pseudomonadati; Acidobacteriota.
GCGGACGUGGCGAAACUGGUAAACGCUCUUGUUCGGGGAACAAGCGAUGCACCACAUCUUGCGGGUUCGAGUCCCGCCGUCCGCA